AUGGCUGGGAUAACUUUUUCAAUCAAAUAUUCCCUCAUCACGUCCCUGUUCACUAUAAUACUUUUUGUCUCUAGGGUCCCUCGAGCCCUAUUAUGGCUCUUUCUGGCGGCAGGCACCUCUUUCACAAACGCCCACACACCGAUUUUUCCAGAAAAUGUCACAGUACCUUGAGCAUCACGUCUGGGUCUUGCUACAACUGUUAGGAGCAUGACUUUACCAAUGCUGUUCUUGUUUUGAACUGUACGUGUAGGAUCAUCCUCUUCCGGCAGCAAGUAGUGUUUUCUUUUCUUUUUGGUCAUAUAGAACCACUUCUCGUCCAUUUGCACUAUGUUCUGCAUAUCAAUGAAUUUAGGUUCAGCGUCCCCAAGAGUGAUCUGAUCUAGCAUUGAAAUGCAGAAUUCAAGCCUCUCCCUCAUGUUGCUCUCUCUUAAUGAUGGCUUCAACGUAUUAGAGUGACGCCUUAUGGGACCCAACUUAAACUUUCUGUGCAAUGUAGUAAUGCUAACAUUUAAAGACUUAGCCAAUGAUCUUAAAGUGGAUCUUCGAUUUAGUGGAACUGUGGCCAUUCUAGAGAGAUCAAGCUCUGCUUUCUUGCGACCGCAUCUACCGGUUCGUUUAUUAGACACAUCAACCUCGAGCCCAAGUGCAAUCUGCUCCCUUUCAGUCCUCCAAAUCUUUUGGAUAACUUGAAUCUGUGUCUGGAAAAAGGCAGCUACUUCCUUUGUUGCAGUCUUCGGUAACUUCCCACUUUUACUCUUUGCAUGCAAUGCGAUGUAAGCAGCGUGUCUUUGAGAAUCUGUUAGCCAUUUCCGUAACCUCAGUUGUGAUUGUUGUAGACCUGCAAGGACAAUAAUGAGAUAAGUAAGUUAGACUGAGUAUCUUUGCUAGUUCAAGUGUUUAGUAACCAAUGGCUCUAUAAUCAGUAUCUCAUAAAUCUUUAUCUCUCAUAAGGGCAUGUUGUACCUGCAAAUUCAGCGGUAACAUUGGCUUCUUCAUCCUGGACCAUAGCACCAAUUUCCUCAUUGUUAUAGCCUCGCCUCCUCCGGGUACAAUUUCAUCAACUAAUUCUUCUAGAGGAGUACAAUUGAUGUCCAGGAAAACUCGUGUUGCCAUAUGAACACCUACAAGAACAAUAAUGAGACAGGACAAUUAGAUUCAAUCAAAUGAACAAGUGUCUGCUCCAGUCAUUUCAACAUGGUUAAAUCUGUAUGAAUUGUUAGUGGCAUUCUGUUGUUAGCUGUAAAUAUGCAUAAAGGAAUCAGCAUGCUUUUUGGCAGCUUCAGCGGGAGCAUUGGCUUCUUCAUCUUGAGCGGGAACAAUGCCUUCUUCAUCCUGAGCCAUAGCAUCAAUCUCCUCAUCGCCUACAGCCUCAUCUCCAGAGUAUGAAGCUUGUACCUGCAGCUUCAGUGGGAGCAUCACCUUCCUCGUCAGCUGCGGCCUCUCCUUCAGCAGAUAUGUUGAAGACGAGGGCAGAGUCUAGCCACGAGGACUGCUUGCCGGAGAUGCAGAGGAACUGCUUGCUUGCAGGAGAUGGCACGUGCUAGAGCUGCUUGCUUGGCGGAGAUGGGCAGGAGCUGCUUGCUUGCCGGAGAUUGCACGUGCUGGAGAAAUCACUGCGCGUGUACAGCUGUAUGGCUUUUGAUUUUGA
This is a long non-coding RNA of Panicum hallii, 1648 nucleotides long. RefSeq lists it as uncharacterized. The record is from RefSeq and is a predicted model, not a curated record. Lineage: Eukaryota; Viridiplantae; Streptophyta; Magnoliopsida; Poales; Poaceae. The transcript has 4 exons.